RNAcentral lists this ribosomal RNA (491 nucleotides) under uncultured bacterium. RNAcentral's name for it is "partial 16S ribosomal RNA". It matches the Rfam family "Bacterial small subunit ribosomal RNA", at positions 29 to 506 of the family's 1533-position model. The record is from RNAcentral.
AGUGAACGCUGGCGGUAGGCCUAACACAUGCAAGUCGAACGGCAGCACAGUAAGAGCUUGCUCUUACGGGUGGCGAGUGGCGGACGGGUGAGGAAUACAUCGGAAUCUACUUUUUCGUGGGGGAUAACGUAGGGAAACUUACGCUAAUACCGCAUACGACCUACGGGUGAAAGCAGGGGAUCUUCGGACCUUGCGCGAUUGAAUGAGCCGGUGUCGGAUUAGCUAGUUGGCGGGGUAAAGGCCCACCAAGGCGACGAUACGUAGCUGGUCUGAGAGGAUGAUCCGCCACACUGGAACUGAGAGGCCGUCCAGGCUCCGACGGGCGGCCGCAGUUGCUACUAUUGGACACAGUGCGCAAGCCUGCUCCAGCCAUGCCGCGUUGGUGAAGAAGGCCCUCGGGUUGUAAAGCCCUUUUGUUGUGAAAGAAAAGCAGCAGGUUAAUACCCCGCUGUUCUGCCGGUACCCAAAGAAUAAGCACCGGCUAACUUCGU